Molecule: transfer RNA, 72 nt
Filed under: Ixodes scapularis (black-legged tick)
Lineage: Eukaryota; Metazoa; Arthropoda; Arachnida; Ixodida; Ixodidae
Description: tRNA-Cys for anticodon ACA
Rfam family: tRNA
About the family: Transfer RNA (tRNA) molecules are approximately 80 nucleotides in length. Their secondary structure includes four short double-helical elements and three loops (D, anti-codon, and T loops).
Source: RNAcentral
GCCUCAGUGGCUUUGGGGCAAAGCGCCGGCCUACAGAUCCCCAGGUGGCGGGUUCGAAUCCCGUCCGAGGUG